Molecule: ribosomal RNA, 253 nt
Filed under: uncultured bacterium
Lineage: Bacteria
Description: partial 16S ribosomal RNA
Rfam family: Bacterial small subunit ribosomal RNA
Source: RNAcentral
UACAGAGGAUGCAAGCGUUAUCCGGAAUUACUGGGCGUAAAGCGUGCGCAGGCGGUUUGCUAAGACAGGUGUGAAAUCCCCGGGCUUAACCUGGGAACUGCGCUUGUUACUGGCAGGCUUGAGUGUGGCAGAGGGGGGUGGAAUUCCACGUGUAGCAGUGAAAUGCGUAGAGAUGUGGAGGAACACCGAUGGCGAAGGCAGCCCCCUGGGCUAACACUGACGCUCAUGCACGAAAGCGUGGGGAGCAAACAGG